Non-coding RNA from Spodoptera litura, 1107 nucleotides. Lineage: Eukaryota; Metazoa; Arthropoda; Insecta; Lepidoptera; Noctuidae. The record is from RefSeq and is a predicted model, not a curated record.
CAUAUAAUCAGUGAAUUAUUGCGUGUUAUUGUUUUGUUGCCUACUGUUAAUGCGUUUUAAUGUUUAUUUGGUGUGAAAACAUAGUAUUUAUGUCAGAAGGACGCCACGACGUACACAAAGCUAAGUUCAGUUGAAUCGAGGCUCUACAUGGAGAUACUUCUAUUAAAGACUACGAUGUGGGCAGAACAAUGAAGUAACAACCGAAAUAAUGGAUGAAAUGACUUUUGUACGACAAAGAAAAAUCAGUUCAAACGUCGUAGAGUCAAAGUCUAAAAUAGAGAAACACGCCGCGGGGCGGGCAAAGAACUAAUGUUGGAUGGCAUGAUGAAAUGUGACAGUUCAUUAUGCGGAAGAUAACGGACGCCACAGCAUACAGUGAACAAUUGCAGUGAAGAGGGGAGUGGUCGAGAUGUCAGACCAUGUUGUGAGUUGAAUUAUGGCGUUGUACGAAUUAAACACGUCGUGUGAAAAUGGAAAACUUUUUUGGAAACGAGGGCUUCUGAGAAGAUGUUCGUGAGUUUCAACGAUUCCACAAAAAGAAAGUCCACACCACGGAGCAGUUGGGAUUCAUAUUUAUCACUUCACAGCUGCGCACCUAUGAUCGAUCUCAUCCAAGAUGGCGGCGGGCGCGCCGCGCGAACAGGCGGGAAACAAGCGCAUGCACACCUCCUCCUAUAACGGACCCGUCAAUCUCCCGGCACAUAUGAAAUUAGAACACUUUAUUCUUAUAUAAAAUGAGUCCAGCGCAAAAUACGUGUUGUCUCGCGGACGGUAUACGUUGCACUAAAUUAACAAAAAACAGUUUUAACGUAUUCAAAACUUGAAACCCAUAAAACAUAAUCUCCCCCAUUAUUAGUUUAUGGCUUGCGACUGUUACGGGGCCUAUUAUGCUGUUAUUUUUCUGUGUAUUGCUGUUUGUUUUGACUGUAUAGCGGUCUGGGUUGCCCAAUGUGGGGUACCAUUACAGAAUGCUUCUAUUGAGUAGGUGCCUGUUAUCCGUUUUUAAGUGACUCUAUUAUCAUACUUGUUUUUGUGUUCUGUUGUAUUCUACAUUUAUUGGAAACAAAGAGACGAUGUUGCUUCUUGAUUGGAAUUUUUAGAACUUAA